GACGAACGCUGGCGGCGUGCUUAACACGUGCAAGUCGAGCGGUAAGGCCCUUUCGGGGUACGACGAGCGGCGAACGGGUGAGUAACACGUGGGUGACCUGCCCUCAGCUCUGGGAUAAGCCUGGGAAACCGGGUCUAAUACUGGAUAUGACUCCAUGACGCAUGUUGUGGGGUGGAAAGCCUUGUGCGGCUGAGGAUGGGCCCGCGGCCUAUCAGCUUGUUGGUGGGGUGAUGGCCUACCAAGGCGA
Molecule: ribosomal RNA, 247 nt
Filed under: uncultured Actinomycetes bacterium
Lineage: Bacteria; Bacillati; Actinomycetota; Actinomycetes
Description: uncultured actinobacterium partial 16S ribosomal RNA
Rfam family: Bacterial small subunit ribosomal RNA
Source: RNAcentral